Molecule: ribosomal RNA, 462 nt
Filed under: uncultured bacterium
Lineage: Bacteria
Description: partial 16S ribosomal RNA
Rfam family: Bacterial small subunit ribosomal RNA
Source: RNAcentral
GACGAACGCUGGCGGCGUGCUUAACACAUCCAAGUCGAGCGACGCUCUUCCUUCGGGGAGAUGACGGAGCGGCGAACGGGUGAGUAACACGUGGGCAACCUGCCCCUAGCUCUGGGACAACACCGGGAAACCGGUGCUAAUACCGGAUACGACAUCGAGCGGCAUCUCUCGAUGUGGAAAGUUUUUUCGGCUAGGGAUGGGCCCGCGGCCUAUCAGCUUGUUGGUGGGGUAAUGGCCCACCAAGGCGACGACGGGUAGCCGGCCUGAGAGGGCGACCGGCCACACUGGGACUGAGACACGGCCCAGACUCCUACGGGAGGCAGCAGUGGGGAAUAUUGCGCAAUGGGCGAAAGCCUGACGCAGCGACGCCGCGUGAGGGAUGACGGCCUUCGGGUUGUAAACCUCUUUCAGCAGGGACGAAUUCAGACGGUACCUGCAGAAGAAGCACCGGCCAACUACGUG